This 523-nucleotide ribosomal RNA is filed under the name Bifidobacterium longum subsp. suillum. Its description in RNAcentral is "bacterial SSU rRNA". It matches the Rfam family "Bacterial small subunit ribosomal RNA", at positions 162 to 700 of the family's 1533-position model. The record is from RNAcentral. Lineage: Bacteria; Bacillati; Actinomycetota; Actinomycetes; Bifidobacteriales; Bifidobacteriaceae.
GGUAAUGCCGGAUGUUCCAGUUGAUCGCAUGGUCUUCUGGGAAAGCUUUCGCGGUAUGGGAUGGGGUCGCGUCCUAUCAGCUUGACGGCGGGGUAACGGCCCACCGUGGCUUCGACGGGUAGCCGGCCUGAGAGGGCGACCGGCCACAUUGGGACUGAGAUACGGCCCAGACUCCUACGGGAGGCAGCAGUGGGGAAUAUUGCACAAUGGGCGCAAGCCUGAUGCAGCGACGCCGCGUGAGGGAUGGAGGCCUUCGGGUUGUAAACCUCUUUUAUCGGGGAGCAAGCGAGAGUGAGUUUACCCGUUGAAUAAGCACCGGCUAACUACGUGCCAGCAGCCGCGGUAAUACGUAGGGUGCAAGCGUUAUCCGGAAUUAUUGGGCGUAAAGGGCUCGUAGGCGGUUCGUCGCGUCCGGUGUGAAAGUCCAUCGCUUAACGGUGGAUCCGCGCCGGGUACGGGCGGGCUUGAGUGCGGUAGGGGAGACUGGAAUUCCCGGUGUAACGGUGGAAUGUGUAGAUAUCGG